CAAACCCUCUCCUUACCUCCAUCCCAUGACAAAGGUUAUCUGUCAGUCAAUAAUCUGUAAUGCUCCACCUCCUCUUCCUCUGUAGCGUUGUCAGGGUCAUUGUUGGACACAAAUUAUUUUUUAAAUAAGGGCGUGUGUAAAUGCCACAGUCAUCUCUAUAGAGAGCUGGCAUGCAUCGCAACUAUCCUACAUAAAGUUGUGUGUAGCGCACAGACUAUCUGUUUAUUUCAUAUAAGAAUACAAUGACUUUAGUUUGUGUAGCAGAAAUUAAGGAGACUCUCCUCCACCCUGUGAUAUUUGUACAGCGUUGUCCCCAGGGACGCUGUAUGCCAAGCUGUCAGCCACAUCAGUGAUCAUUUGAUUUAUAAUUUGCCCUUCUCUUCUACGUGAAUCUAAAUGUUCUGGCAUAUCUUGGGAUGUUUUGUUAGAGAAUGCCUCUUCAUGUCUUCCUCUCAUUUCCCCCGUACAGAAGAUGAUUCUCAGCCUGACUGUAGCUGCCUUCUUCGAUAGCGUAGCAUAUGUCAUGACUGGAGUGCCUUGGCCUGGGUUUGCCUCAUCACAGUGAACCUGUACCUCAACCUGGUCAGAGAAAUCAGCACCAACAGAUAUGAGAUGUUGUACCAUCUGUUGGCGUGGGGGGUGCCUCUGGUCAUGGCCUCUUUGCCACUGCUAAAGGGUUACUACGGCCCCGCAGGAGCCUGGUGCUGGAUCACAGACGAUCACGUAGCCUGGAGAUUUGGGAUAUGGUACGUGCCUCUGUUCAGCCUCAUCUUCCUGAUGAUCUGCUGCUACGCCAGGAUAAUCUGCGUGGCCAAUGCGAGGAUGCAGUCAUGGUUGGGAACCUUCAACCCAGAGAGAGAGAGACGAAAGGUUUCCUUGGCUGAGGAGAUCAAGCCGUUGAAGUGGUAUCCCUCCGUCUACCUGCUGGUGUCCAUCUUUCCCCUCAUCAACAGGCUCCAUAAUGCCUUCUACCCACAGGAUCCAUCCUUCUCGCUCACCCUGUUGCACGUCCUCUCAGCGCCACUCCACGGCUUGGCUAAUGCCUUUGUCUUUGGCCUUGAUAGGGAUUGGUGGAGUCUACUGAGCCCUACUGGCAUGCAGCUGGCUCUGCAGUCAAGACUGUGUGACAGGACUCUGAUUGGAGAGUACCACCCCGGGGCGGUGCGCUACACACAGGCUGACCUGGUCGACCUCAGCGAUGACGACGACGAUGACACCAACGUGCUCUUCUACUCUCCUGACAUGACCCUGAAAGACCGAGGGCCCUGAGAGAGAGCUGGAGAGAGGGUGGGAGAGGAGAGAGGGCAAGGAGCUGGAGGAAAGGAGCAUGAACAAGGGUCACAGCCAGAGAGAGACGCAGCGGAUUAGAAACUGAGAGAGAGGAACAAGAGGUAGGGAGGGAAUGAAAAGGAAGAUUGGGGGGACAGUCGGGAAGAUAGAAGGCGGAGAUGAGCUGUCAGGUUCCAUUAUUAAUCCCCAUCCUUUACUAUUUAAUAUCCUAAAGACACACACACAUACACACACACACACAUACUGAGCAGAGCUGCAGCUCCCCGCAACACUACCACGAGAGAGGAGCAAGAAACGAUCGGCUCUAAAGAUCCUCCUAAUGUUAAAGGCAUCUGCUGCAUCCCAAAGGUCUUAAAACAAUUUCCCCCUCUCUGCACUGCCUUCUUGACAUUCUGCAGCGUUUUGGCAUACCACAAAAAUGAAAGAGGAAGAAAAAAGCCCAGAAAGAAUGGCUGAAAGGCAAUCAUAACAAGGUGUUAGUUUAGCAUUCACAGCAAUUACCUUUUCACUUCUCUGCAGAGGAUGAAGUGGAAAGCAGGCCUUUUAAAAAAAGCACCCUGUGUGUCAGACGUGAAAGCAUCUAACGCCGUGAUUGAUCCCGGUUCCGAACACUUUUCAAGGGGGAGGUGGGAUACAGUGGAAAUACAGGACAAAUAAGUUCUAAAGGAGUCUCUCCCUCAUCUCACAGUAUUCGUUUUUUCCUGUUUUUUCUCCUUGCACAUGACAUUAUUGUUCUUGCAACUUUCGCACAAGUAUUACUUUGAAACGUUGUUUUUGUAUGAAAUAUUACAUGUGUUUUGUUAUACUGUAUUUAUCAAUGUACGAUAUAUAUUUAAAUGUAUACUCUAUUUUUGUACGUGCCUCGGACUUGAAUGUGAAGUUCGGUCCAAACCUGCUGCUCCUCAGUCGUGCAGAGCCAAUACAUAUAGCCUUAUGGUCUAAAACUAAAAAACAUGUAUUGUUCAUCAGUCAACACAAACACACAUGUGCUCUCUCUGAGGUGCCUGUCAAAACAGGUUGGAAACAGGGACACACACAUGGCAUAGCAACAGCCUUUGAUGGUUCAUCACCUCAUGGCCCUUGUCAGCGGUGCCGAGGUGUGAUUGGCAGGAUAAUAGAGUUGCUUUAUAUUCAACCUCAGCCCAUUUGUUUUUUUCACACAUCGUGGUGGUUUCAUCACUGUCGGUGCGAGCUGCCGGCUGUCAGCUGCCUCUCUGACAAGUUGAACUAAUGAACCCACACUUGACCCUUUCUACCCUUGAGUUUUUUUACUUUUCUGCUGGUCUUCAAAGACGCCAGAGUGCAACUUUAGAUUUGCAGUUCCCACUACUGUAUAACCCACGCACUGUGCCCCUACCCUUUUUUUUGGCACUGUUGCUGAUUUUACUUGACUGUGCACUCCAUCAAAUAAAUGAGCAGGAGAGACAUUUCAUAACAAAGCUGAGCCUGGGCAUGUUUAUUUCAUUUUCACGUUGAUGUAAUCCUUCAUUCCCUGAUGCCACUUUCCCUGCCUCCCCAUGAGGUGUACGUUGUGUGUGGAUGUGCAACUGUCUUUUAGACCUGGGCUGCUUAAAUAAUGGAUAUUAAUUAUUGGCCUGACCCUGCUGGCCUCUACCUUGUCUCCAGAUCUGGUUAACUGUAUUUUGAUUAAUGAAAUAUGGGCGCCAUGCCCUCCAGAAAACUAGACUUUUCCUCCACAGCUCUCCCGCAGACGCUUGAACGUCUCAAGCCCCGCACCCCCUCAAUAAAAAGAGCCCGGGAAAUAAGUGAAUCUGCCUGUCACGCAAGAAGAAUUAUUAUUCCCCCCCUCGUAUCGUCGCAUGCGCCGUAAUUGGAUACAAUUUAACACCCGCGGCCCACGGGCAUGUCGGCAGGCACACACUGCCUACUAUUAGCUCGCCUCGCCUCGCCACCCUAUCAUUUGUCAGAUCUGUGUUUGUGUGCUCCUGGUGCUUGUGUGUGUGUAUAUGUGUGUAUAUGUGUGUGUGUGUGUGUGUGUAUGUAUGUGUGUGUGUUUGCGCGUGUGCAUGUUGCUCGAGAAACCGGAGCCAUUGUUGGAGUCCGGCCAUGACCUAGCUGUGACGCACAGAGAGAGGAAGAGAGAGGA
Molecule: long non-coding RNA, 3397 nt
Organism: Cottoperca gobio
Lineage: Eukaryota; Metazoa; Chordata; Actinopteri; Perciformes; Bovichtidae
Product: cyclic AMP receptor-like protein A
Source: Ensembl